GGGGGGGGGGGGGGGGAGGGGUAGGGGAGGCGGGGCGAGGGGGAGGUGCGGGGCUGGCGGCGCAGGGGGGCGGAACGGGUGGGGACGGGCCGUUAGGUUCGGAAUAACUCCACGAACGGGGUGAUAAGCCCGGCUGCGGUCUUCGGACCAACGAUUUAUCGCCUUUGGAUGGGCCCGCGUUAGAUUAGCUAGUUGGUAGUGUACAAGCCUAAGAAGGCGACGAUCCAUAGCUGGUCUGAGAGGAUGAUCAGCCACACUGGGACUGAGCCACGGCCAAGACUCCUACGGGAGGCAGCAGUGGGGAAUAUUGGACAAUGGGCGAAAGCCUGAGCCAGCAAUGCCGCGUGAGUGAUGAAGGCCGUAGGGUUGUAAAGCUCUUUUACCCGGGAUGAUAAUGACAGUACCGGGAGAAUAAGCUCCGGCUAACUCCGUG
This 433-nucleotide ribosomal RNA is filed under the name uncultured bacterium. RNAcentral describes it as "partial 16S ribosomal RNA". It matches the Rfam family "Bacterial small subunit ribosomal RNA", at positions 38 to 507 of the family's 1533-position model. The record is from RNAcentral.